GAAACAUAAGUAGGCUGACAAUUAUGAUAGCCGGUCCUGGGAGGAAAUUCUAACAGCAUGAUGCUCCCACUGUCGGAAAGGAUUUUUGUUGUCAUUUGAUUUGGUUUUUUGUUUUACAAAGCAAAGCUACUCACACAAAGAAGUAGAAGGGAAAGAAAAGAGAAUUCUGGUGAUUAAAAAGCAACUAAGCCAAGAAUUGUAAUCACCAUUGAAAAGAAGAUAAAUCAACCCAGCUUCUUUACCCCGUGUGAGGACAGCCCACAAACCAUUUUCAGAAAGCAUGUCUGGAUACCACCUGUGUCUCGCUGUCCAUAUCCAACUGAGGUGCAUGAUUUGUUUUCUUUCUUUUAAAGCUGGAGGAGACAACUGGCUGGAAAGGCACCUUGUUGCAGAUAUUCACUGAAUGGAUCUUUAGCAUUUUAUAUUUAUAUCCUGUCAAUAUGACAGAGUGCUUCCAUAGAGCUUACCAGGUCCUUGGAUUAUUGAGGAAAUGUUGCUAUCCAUCUUACAGCAUUUAA
This is a long non-coding RNA of Crotalus tigris (Tiger rattlesnake), 518 nucleotides long. RefSeq lists it as uncharacterized. The transcript has 4 exons. The record is from RefSeq and is a predicted model, not a curated record. Lineage: Eukaryota; Metazoa; Chordata; Lepidosauria; Squamata; Viperidae.